Molecule: ribosomal RNA, 862 nt
Filed under: uncultured bacterium
Lineage: Bacteria
Description: bacterial SSU rRNA
Rfam family: Bacterial small subunit ribosomal RNA
Source: RNAcentral
AGAGUUUGAUCCUGGCUCAGGAUGAACGCUCGCUACACGCUCAACACAUGCAAGUCGAGGGGCAUGCAUGACGGAAGCUCGCUUCCGUUGAUGGCGACCGGCGCACGGGUGAGUCAACGCGUAUCCAACCUGCCCUUGUCCAUCGGAUAACCCGUCGAAAGGCGGACUAACACGGUAUGCAGUCCACAGCAGGCAUCUAACGUGGACGAAAUGUGAAGGAGAAGGAUGGGGAUGCGUCUGAUUAGCUUGUUGGCGGGGUAACGGCCCACCAAGGCGACGAUCAGUAGGGGUUCUGAGAGGAAGGUCCCCCACAUUGGAACUGAGACACGGUUCCAAACUCCUACGGGAGGCAGCAGUGAGGAAUAUUGGUCAAUGGGCGAGAGCCUGAACCAGCCAAGUAGCGUGCAGGAAGACGGCCCUAUGGGUUGUAAACUGCUUUUAUACGGGGAUAAAGUGAGCCACGUGUGGCUUAUUGCAGGUACCGUAUGAAUAAGGACCGGCUAAUUCCGUGCCAGCAGCCGCGGUAAUACGGAAGGUCCGGGCGUUAUCCGGAUUUAUUGGGUUUAAAGGGAGCGUAGGCCGUCUGUUAAGCGUGUUGUGCAAAUGUCGGGGCUCAACCUGGGCAUUGCAGCGCGAACUGGCAGACUUGAGUGCGCAGGAAGUAGGCGGAAUUCGUCGUGUAGCGGUGAAAUGCUUAGAUAUGACGAAGAACUCCGAUUGCGAAGGCAGCCUGCUGUAGCGUAACUGACGCUGAAGCUCGAAAGCGUGGGUAUCGAACAGGAUUAGAUACCCUGGUAGUCCACGCGGUAAACGAUGGAUGCUCGCUGUUUGCGUCUGACGUAAGCGGCCAAGCGAAAGCGUU